RNAcentral lists this long non-coding RNA (791 nucleotides) under Gossypium raimondii (Peruvian cotton). Its description in RNAcentral is "long non-coding RNA (GRAI_LNC005443)". The record is from RNAcentral. Lineage: Eukaryota; Viridiplantae; Streptophyta; Magnoliopsida; Malvales; Malvaceae.
UUAAAAAAAACAAAAAAAACUUUCAAAAGCUCUCUCCCCUUCCAGCUCGUCCGGCUAGUGGUCCGGUCGUCGGCCACCGCGCUGGCCGUAUGCGGUGGCCGAAAAAAGGGAAAACUUCCUAUUCGGCUCUUUCGGCCUCCCUUAAACCGAAUCCGGGCCCAAAUCCUCCGAAAAUUUACGAAAAAUACCCUAAAAGCCCUCGGAACCUUUCAACUUCCGAUCGUCUAUCCUUGGAGACGAACCUCGGCCGUUCCAACGGCGAUUCAGAAGCAAACCAAAGUAAGUUCUUUCUCCGUUUUAUUAUGUUUUAGUAAAGUAAAAAUAAUAAUAAAAAUAAAAGAAAACAAAGAAAUAAUCGAUGCAAAAAUAAAAUAUCAACCUUUUUGAGUUUUGGUUGAUUCUGUGUUUGUAAAAUAUCGUGCCUUUUUUAUUGAUUUCAAAUUUUUUUCAGAUCCCCGUUACAAUAUGUUUAAUGGCUUUUUAUAGCCAUUCUCAAGAUAUAUAAAGAAACUAAUCUACUUAUAUUGAUUUGAUUUGCGAAUCUUCGAUCUUGUUUUCCAUAUAUUGUUUAUUUCCUUUUUGUGCACAGAUGAAGAUUCGGGGGCUAAGAUUCGGAGGGCGAGGCUAGGUGGCUGCGGCGUAAGACUCGUCACAGAAACCCUAGGGUUUCUGAUAUUAUGUUGGGCCAUUGUUUAGGGCCUCUGCCUAUUUCGGGUUUUGGGCUACAUAGGCCCGUUGUAAUUUGGGCCCUUUUAAGGCCUGGCAAAAUCUGUUAUUACAAUAAUCACUUC